Quercus robur (English oak) is the source of this 123-nucleotide small nucleolar RNA. RefSeq annotates it as small nucleolar RNA SNORD14. The record is from RefSeq and is a predicted model, not a curated record. The transcript has a single exon. NCBI's taxonomy places the organism in Eukaryota, Viridiplantae, Streptophyta, Magnoliopsida, Fagales, Fagaceae.
GGUCAGUGAUGAUAAAUUCAAGGCUUGUUUCUCAAAACAUUCGCAGGGCCGCCUAAGAGCUUUUGCCUUUUGCCGAGCUUGAGAGCUUGUGCUGCUUUUAUCCUUCCUUGGAUGUCUGACACC